This 510-nucleotide small RNA is filed under the name Pongo abelii (Sumatran orangutan). RNAcentral's name for it is "processed transcript". The record is from RNAcentral. Lineage: Eukaryota; Metazoa; Chordata; Mammalia; Primates; Hominidae.
AGAGUGGCAUUAGCUUUCCCUACAGCCAUCCUCACCUGCUUGACACCCUUGGAUGUUGUUUUUGUUUGUUUGUUUGUUUGUUUUGUCCGUAGCUCUUGGGGUCCCCAGCCUCUCUCUUGAGCAGGACUGGAUUUUUUUUUUUUUUUUUUUUGAUAAGAAAGCUGGUGCCCAAGAUUGUUUUCCACCUUAAGGAUAAAACCUGUUAAGAAAGGAGACUUGGAAGAUGCAGAACUGGAUGACUACUCAUUCUCAUGCUAUAGCCAGUUGGAAGUGAAUGGAUCGCAGCACUCACUGACCUGUGCUUUUGAGGACCCAGAUGUCAACAUCACCAAUCUGGAAUUUGAAAUAUGUGGGGCCCUCGUGGAGGUAAAGUGCCUGAAUUUCAGGAAACUACAAGAGAUAUAUUUCAUCGAGACAAAGAAAUUCUUACUGAUUGGAAAGAGCAAUAUAUGUGUGAAGGUUGGAGAAAAGAGUCUAACCUGCAAAAAAAUAGACCUAACCACUAUAGGU